RNAcentral lists this long non-coding RNA (546 nucleotides) under Eucalyptus grandis. RNAcentral's name for it is "long non-coding RNA (EGRA_LNC000934)". Lineage: Eukaryota; Viridiplantae; Streptophyta; Magnoliopsida; Myrtales; Myrtaceae. The record is from RNAcentral.
UCAUUACAUCCGUUCAUAACAUAUCAGUAGCAAGACUUUCUCAUCUUCUUCCAAAGCUCUAUAGAUGAUGGUGAUAGCGAUGUCUUCCGAGCGAUGGAGCCAGAGUGACGCUCUCACAAAUCUCCCAUUCAAAUCUCCCGAGCAAAAAGCGUUUACCACCAAUUUGUCGGCGCCCUCCCCUCCGCAGGUUCCUCUCGCUCGAGCUCGUACUUUUAAAUUUUUUAUUUUCACUUACUCACAAGCGAUUGAAUCGUCUCCAACUCUUUGAUUGAGAUCAUGGUUCCACUUCCCGCAGUCAUUAAGUUAAUCAACUCCCUUUUUUUUCAAGUUCCCUUUGGUAUUUUUUCCACCAAGAGUAACGCCACUCGCCGACUGUCCCUAUUGGAGCUGUCAGAGCAGUAGCUACAGCAAUCACAACAGGCGGUGCACCGAUCGCAACUGCAACGACUGAGAAGAUCACAGUGACCACGAAGGCGGUCACAAAUAUGGCAUUGGUCACCCUUCUGCAAGCUUGUGCAGAUUUAGUUUUUUUUGGCAAGCUUCUUC